This 240-nucleotide non-coding RNA is filed under the name Paenibacillus stellifer. The record is from RNAcentral. Lineage: Bacteria; Bacillati; Bacillota; Bacilli; Caryophanales; Paenibacillaceae.
CAAAAUAUAGUAGAUUCGGGUGUCCGAGCUCCAAAAUGGAAGCCCGGGCUUAAAAGGGAAAGCGGUGCGAAACCGCUGCGGUCCCGCCACUGUAACCGGAUGUCCGUCCUCUUCAAACGCGCUAGAGAACGAAGACGGCAUCUUCCGGCACAUGCCACUGAAAGCCGCCAUUCGGGCCUUUGGGAAGGCGCCGGAAGAUGGAACGGAAGCCAGGAGACCUGCCUGCAUCUAGUGACGCCA